This 2394-nucleotide ribosomal RNA is filed under the name Triticum aestivum (bread wheat). RNAcentral's name for it is "partial small subunit ribosomal RNA". The record is from RNAcentral. Lineage: Eukaryota; Viridiplantae; Streptophyta; Magnoliopsida; Poales; Poaceae.
AUGAGUUCGCUAUGCACAUUCCUGGCCGUCCUGACUACUGCGAUUGCGAUCGUGGCCGCUAGCGACGAGGCUGCGUUGCUCGCUUUCAAAGCGCAGGUCAGCGAUGGCGGCUCGCUGGCCUCCUGGAAUAGCAGCGCCAGCUUUUGCAGCUGGGAAGGUGUGACAUGCAGCCACCGCAGACCAGCGCGGGUGGUGGCGCUGAGAUUGAACAACAAGGCGCUCGCCGGAGAACUCUCCCCAGCCAUCGGGAACCUCACGUUCCUGCGGACGCUCAACCUAAGCUUCAACUGGUUCCACGGGGAGAUACCAGCGAGCCUUGGCCGCCUCCGCCGCCUGCAUAGGCUCGACUUGGGCAACAACUCCUUCUCUGGCACAUUACCAGUGAACCUGAGCUCAUGUGUCAGCAUGGCCAUAAUGGGACUGCUAAACAACAAGCUUGGCGGGCGCAUCCCGGCUGAGAAGCUCACGUCCCUAGUAAGGAUGUCACUGAGUAACAACAGCUUCACAGGGCUCAUCCCUCCAUCACUGGCCAAUCUGUCCCAUUUGGAAGUCCUUGAUCUCUCACGCAACCAGCUUGUGGGCUCAAUCCCACCAGGGCUCGGAAGCAUCCACGGCAUGCAACAGUUCAGCAUCGCCAGAAACCUCAUCAGCGGUAUGAUUCCAACCUCUCUCUACAAUUGGUCCUCGCUAGAACUAUUUGAUGUAGGGACAAAUAUGUUGUACGGCAUUUUGGAUGAUUUCGGAAACAAUUUCCCCAAGUUGGAAUAUCUUGGCUUGUCUGGUAAUCACUUCACUGGAACAAUCCCGUCCUCAAUAUCCAACAUAUCUUCCCUCAUAUCAGUUGGCUUUGAUAGCAACAGAUUUAGUGGGUACUUUCCUCCCACAUUUGGGAAGCUGGGAGCACUUCAAUAUUUGAACUUGAAUAACAAUAAGCUUGAAGCGAAUGACAACAAGGGGUGGGAAUUCAUCACGUCUUUGGGAAACUGCAGCCAACUGCAGCUAUUGGGACUCGGCAUCAAUUCUUUUGAAGGACAACUACCAGGUUCAAUUGUGAACCUGUCAACGACUCUCCAAUACUUGUACUUAGGUGACAAUAGGAUCUCUGGGAGUAUUCCUGCAGAUAUAGGCAAUUUAGUUGGUCUGCAAACACUUGUGAUAGCAAACACUUCCAUGUCCGGAGUGAUUCCAAAGAGCAUUGGUAAGCUAGAGAACUUGAUCGAUCUAGCUUUGUACAACAAUAGCUUGUCUGGGCUCAUACCGCCAUCUCUAGGAAACCUUUCACAAUUGAAUAAGCUUUAUGCACGUAAUAGCAACUUGGAGGGACCAAUUCCGGCAAGCCUGGGGAAGUUGAAAAACCUCUUUGUACUUGAUCUAAAAAUGAAUUACCGUCUCAAUGGUUCAAUACCCAAAGAAAUUUUCAGAUUACCCAGCCUUUCUUGGUAUUUGGACUUGACAUACAAUUCCCUUUCCGGACCCCUUCCUAAUGAAGUUGGUAGCUUGGCAAACCUUAACCUACUAGUUCUAUCAGGAAACCAGUUGUCUGGCAAGAUACCCGACAGUAUACAGAACUGCAUGGUAUUGGAACAACUAUUCUUAGACAACAAUUCCUUUGAGGGAAACAUACCUCAGUCACUGACAAAUAUAAAGGGGCUCAGUAUAUUGAACCUGACCAUGAAUAAGUUCUCUGGUAAUAUUCCUGAUGCCCUUGGCAAUAUUGGAAACCUGCAAGAGUUGUACGUAGCACACAACAACUUGUCAGGAUCAAUCCCAUUAGUUCUACAGAAUUUGUCAUCAUUGUCUGAAUUGGAUAUAUCCUACAAUAAUUUGCAAGGCGAGGUGCCAAAUGAAGGUGUUUUCAGAAACAUCACUCACUUAUCAGUUGUUGGGAAUGUCAAUUUGUGUGGUGGUACACCUCAACUUCAUUUGGCUCCGUGCCCCACAAGGGUCUUAAGCAAGAAGAGAAAAAAGAUGCCAAAGUCCCUUGUAAUUUCUCUAGCAGCAGUUGGAGCAAUCGUGUUCUCACUUUCAGUGAUUGUUCUUGUUUGGAGACUUUGUAAGAAGCUCAAAUCAAGCCCGAAGACAGUAGCAAAAGAUUCAAUUGUUGAUGGCCAUUACAGAAGAAUCCCCUAUCCUGCAUUACUGAAAGGAACUAACGAAUUUUCAGAAGCCAACUUGCUUGGGAGAGGAAGUUAUGGUGCGGUUUAUAAGUGUGUUUUGGACAACGAAGAAAGAACAUUGGCUGUCAAGGUGUUUAACCUUGGUCAAUCUAGGUAUUCGAAGAGUUUUGAGGCUGAAUGUGAGGCUAUGAGAAGGAUACGACAUCGUUGUCUCAUUAAGAUCGUUACUUCUUGUUCGAGCAUCAACCACCAAGGUCAAGAGUUCAAGGCAUUGGUC